This 468-nucleotide ribosomal RNA is filed under the name uncultured bacterium. RNAcentral's name for it is "partial 16S ribosomal RNA". It matches the Rfam family "Bacterial small subunit ribosomal RNA", at positions 28 to 507 of the family's 1533-position model. The record is from RNAcentral.
GACGAACGCUGGCGGCGUGCUUAACACAUGCAAGUCGAACGGAAAGGCCCUGCUUUUGUGGGGUGCUCGAGUGGCGAACGGGUGAGUAACACGUGAGUAACCUGCCCUUGACUUUGGGAUAACUUCAGGAAACUGGGGCUAAUACCGGAUAGGAGCUCCUGCUGCAUGGUGGGGGUUGGAACGUUUCGGCGGUUGGGGAUGGACUCGCGGCUUAUCAGCUUGUUGGUGGGGUAGUGGCUUACCAAGGCUUUGACGGGUAGCCGGCCUGAGAGGGUGACCGGCGACAUUGGGACUGCGAUACGGCCCAGACUCCUACGGGGGGCAGCAGUGGGGAAUAUUGCACAAUGGGCGGAAGCCUGAUGCAGCAACGCCGCGUGCGGGAUGACGGCCUUCGGGUUGUAAACCGCUUUCGCCUGUGACGAAGCGUGAGUGACGGUAAUGGGUAAAGAAGCACCGGCUAACUACGUG